CGCUUUGUGGUUCAACUGAUUUGAAGAGCUUGCUCAGAUAUGACGAUGGACAUUGCAAAGAGUGGCGAACGGGUGAGUAACACGUGGGAAACCUACCUCUUAGCAGGGGAUAACAUUUGGAAACAGAUGCUAAUACCGUAUAACAAUGACAACCGCAUGGUUGUUAUUUAAAAGAUGGUUCUGCUAUCACUAAGAGAUGGUCCCGCGGUGCAUUAGCUAGUUGGUAAGGUAAUGGCUUACCAAGGCGAUGAUGCAUAGCCGAGUUGAGAGACUGAUCGGCCACAAUGGGACUGAGACACGGCCCAUACUCCUACGGGAGGCAGCAGUAGGGAAUCUUCCACAAUGGGCGAAAGCCUGAUGGAGCAACGCCGCGUGUGUGAUGAAGGGUUUCGGCUCGUAAAACACUGUUGUAAGAGAAGAAUGACAUUGAGAGUAACUGUUCAAUGUGUGACGGUAUCUUACCAGAAAGGAACGGCUAAAUACGUGCCAGCAGCCGCGGUAAUACGUAUGUUCCAAGCGUUAUCCGGAUUUAUUGGGCGUAAAGCGAGCGCAGACGGUUAUUUAAGUCUGAAGUGAAAGCCCUCAGCUCAACUGAGGAAUUGCUUUGGAAACUGGAUGACUUGAGUGCAGUAGAGGAAAGUGGAACUCCAUGUGUAGCGGUGAAAUGCGUAGAUAUAUGGAAGAACACCAGUGGCGAAGGCGGCUUUCUGGACUGUAACUGACGUUGAGGCUCGAAAGUGUGGGUAGCAAACAGGAUUAGAUACCCUGGUAGUCCACACCGUAAACGAUGAGUGCUAGGUGUUUGAGGGUUUCCGCCCUUAAGUGCCGCAGCUAACGCAUUAAGCACUCCGCCUGGGGAGUACGACCGCAAGGUUGAAACUCAAAGGAAUUGACGGGGACCCGCACAAGCGGUGGAGCAUGUGGUUUAAUUCGAAGCAACGCGAAGAACCUUACCAGGUCUUGACAUCCCUUGACAACUCCAGAGAUGGAGCGUUCCCUUCGGGGACAAGGUGACAGGUGGUGCAUGGUUGUCGUCAGCUCGUGUCGUGAGAUGUUGGGUUAAGUCCCGCAACGAGCGCAACCCUUAUUACUAGUUGCCAGCAUUCAGUUGGGCACUCUAGUGAGACUGCCGGUGACAAACCGGAGGAAGGUGGGGAUGACGUCAAAUCAUCAUGCCCCUUAUGACCUGGGCUACACACGUGCUACAAUGGCGUAUACAACGAGUUGCCAACCCGCGAGGGUGAGCUAAUCUCUUAAAGUACGUCUCAGUUCGGAUUGUAGGCUGCAACUCGCCUACAUGAAGUCGGAAUCGCUAGUAAUCGCGGAUCAGCACGCCGCGGUGAAUACGUUCCCGGGUCUUGUACACACCGCCCGUCACACCAUGAGAGUUUGUAACACCCAAAGCCGGUGGGGUAACCUUCGGGAGCCAGCCGUCU
This 1436-nucleotide ribosomal RNA is filed under the name Weissella confusa. Its description in RNAcentral is "bacterial SSU rRNA". It matches the Rfam family "Bacterial small subunit ribosomal RNA". Lineage: Bacteria; Bacillati; Bacillota; Bacilli; Lactobacillales; Lactobacillaceae. The record is from RNAcentral.